This 376-nucleotide ribosomal RNA is filed under the name Naemorhedus goral. RNAcentral's name for it is "partial 12S ribosomal RNA". It matches the Rfam family "Bacterial small subunit ribosomal RNA", at positions 855 to 1392 of the family's 1533-position model. The record is from RNAcentral. Lineage: Eukaryota; Metazoa; Chordata; Mammalia; Artiodactyla; Bovidae.
AAAAACAAAAUUAUUCGCCAGAGUACUACCGGCAACAGCCCAAAACUCAAAGGACUUGGCGGUGCUUUAUACCCUUCUAGAGGAGCCUGUUCUGUAAUCGAUAAACCCCGAUAAACCUCACCAGUCCUUGCUAAUACAGUCUGUAUACCGCCAUCUUCAGCAAACCCUAAAAAGGAACAAAAGUAAGCUCAAUCAUAACACAUAAAAACGUUAGGUCAAGGUGUAACCUAUGGAAUGGGAAGAAAUGGGCUACAUUUUCUACCCCAAGAAAAUUUAAUACGAAAGCUAUUAUGAAACUAAUAGCCAAAGGAGGAUUUAGCAGUAAACUAAGAAUAGAGUGCUUAGUUGAACCAGGCCAUGAAGCACGCACACACCG